GGGCUUGACUGGUUUUGACAGCGAGCAGAAGUGGUUUGUAAGCACGCAGUGCGUCGUUGUUUGGCACUUUAAUCUCAAAUGAUAACAGUUUAACUGGCGAAAAUACAUACGCUCUCGCAGCCUGACCGAAGUAUAGUAAGUCACAGCUUAAUUUCGGUUCAUGAAUCGAAACGAGACAUCACCCGGGAUUGUAGUUCCGAAAUUACCCGACAAGGUGGUGCAGCAAUAUCGGAAAUAGUCUGAGCGCCGUCCCUGUUCUCAGAUGAAAUUUUGGGAAUAAGCGAAGUACCGGUAGCUUUGGUCUUGUAUUUCGACGAAAAUUAAAGCAAAGAUAAGCGUGUAGAAAGCAAAUUAAUUCCUCGUUUGGACGAGGGUUCGACUCCCUCCAAGUCCACAG
This 397-nucleotide transfer-messenger RNA is filed under the name Dysgonamonadaceae bacterium. It matches the Rfam family "transfer-messenger RNA". From Rfam's summary of the family: Bacterial tmRNA, also known as 10Sa RNA or SsrA, is named for its dual tRNA and mRNA-like properties. Its role is to liberate the mRNA from a stalled ribosome. Lineage: Bacteria; Pseudomonadati; Bacteroidota; Bacteroidia; Bacteroidales; Dysgonomonadaceae. The record is from RNAcentral.